CAGAAGAUAAUUUAAUAAAAAUGUAAGCUUUGGGUGCUUGAAAUGAUUCUUUACUCUCUUCUGA
RNAcentral lists this transfer RNA (64 nucleotides) under Magicicada septendecula (seventeen-year cicada). Its description in RNAcentral is "tRNA-Pro". The record is from RNAcentral. RNAcentral also lists the same sequence under 1 other name. Lineage: Eukaryota; Metazoa; Arthropoda; Insecta; Hemiptera; Cicadidae.